CUUUCGUGCCUCCACGUAAGACAUGGCUUUGCUUCUCCUUCACCUUCCUCCAUGAUUGUGAGGCCUCCCCAGCCAUGUGGAACCGUGAGUCCACUGAACCUCUUUUUCUUUAUAAAUUCCCCAGUCUCGGGUAUGUCUUUAUUAGGAGCAUGAGAACAGACUGAUACACCUGGACUCUGCCCCAUGUGUCUCUUCUUUUCACUGAUUCUAAUCUGUAUCUUUUCACCAUAGUAAACCAAAACAGUGGGCAUAACAGUUUUGGUGCAUUCUGUGAGUGCUUCCAGUGAAUUGUCAAACCCAAGGAUAGUCUUGGGGACCCCCUGAACUUACAAGUGCUAUCAGAAUAAAAAAUGAUCCUCUACGCUGUCAAAUAGGACAGACUAGGGAAGCCAACCUGUUGUAGGAAAAAGGGGAAGAUGAGUAAACGAUAUUCUUCUGUCAGAUCUAGUUGUACAUUUCUUUCUGUGUUUGUUUCAGCUAGAUGCCACCAGGCUUGUCACAGAAUUCAGAGAUUCGUUGUACCUAUGACGAGGCCAAAGCAUUAGAGAUAGAUCAGGGAGGUCUCUGUCCUCAAUGCGUCUUCACCCCAUUGUGGGGUGAAGCUGGGAAUCUCUCUUAGGAAAAGGUGAGUUGGGAGGUAGGUGAGUGAAAUGGACACUUGGAAGUUUUGACAACUUUUUCUCCAUGUGAAAAUUGUUCCUCGUUAAUCAAACUUGAAAAAUCUGAGUAAGCUAACAGGUUUCCUUAUUAAACUCCUUUAGGCUGAGGACUCUGUCUUAGUAUUUCUGCGUUCAUAGCACCAAGUACAAUAUACAGCAUAGGGUAAAUUCACGGUCAUUCUAAUUUUUAAAUUAAUCAUUUGGUAUGUAAUUUCAUAUAAGGUAAAAAAGAGGACUUCUGAACUUAAUCUGAAAAGAUGUCUCAAUGUAUUCUUACAAGCUCACCUUUGUUUGAUGCUAAUUUUAAUUUUUCUGAUUUGAUUGAAAAAAACAUUUUGAAGAAAAAAGCACCCAUAAUAUCCUCUUAUUAUGAAAAUUUUCUAUAUUAUUAUGUAGCCUCCAUAUUAUCUGAAAUCCCUGCUGAAUAUUCUGUAUCGUUCAUAAAUAUUCUGUAUAGUUUGUAAUCAAAGUAUGCCUAAAGAAGAUAACGCUGGUGCUGUGCAGAAGACAGUUUAGACAGUUGCACUGUUGAUCAGGACCCAGUAAUAGAGCCAGCAGACAGAAGAACCUGAGUCCUUUAGUCAUCCAUGGAGGAGAGCCCCACCAUCCUGGAAUACCCUGCUGGACUGAUAUAAGCAUCAGAAACUCGAUUUUUUUUUUUUUUUUGGCUGUUACAUCUUGGUUCUGUUUAUUAUAGUAGUUGAAUCUACUCUAAUAAUGCAAAAAUUGAUACCAUGCUAGCCAGGUGUGGUGCCAUGAAGAAGGGUACUGCCAUAAGAAAGACCAAAAAUAUGUGAUAUCGUUCAGGUGCAGUAGCUCACGCCUGUAAUCCCAACAAUUCAGGAGGCCGAAGCAGGCGGAUCACGAGGUCAAGAGAUCGAGACCAUCCUGGCCAAUAUGGUGAAACACCAUCUCUACUAAAAAUAUAAAACUUAACCAGGCGUGGUGGCGGGUGCCUGUAAUCUCAGCUACUUGGGAGGUCGAGGCAGGAGAAUCACUUGAACCUGGGAGGCGGAGGUUGCAGUGAGCCGAGAUCAUGUCACUGCACUCCAGCCUGAUGACAGAGCAAGACUCCAUCUCAAAAAAAAAAAAAAAUGUGCCAUUGGCUUCACAGUUGAGCAGCAGGAAAGGAAAAAAUAGUAUGCUAUAAAUCUGAACAUUCUAAAGUCUAUGCUGUCAACCACACUGCAGAGCCAAAAUAGGGCUUCCUGACUCACUCGCUGUGAAUGGUUACAAGUGUGCUGAUACUUUGAUGCCCUCUGCUUUCCAAGGGAACUCAGAGUUCAAGGUGGCCAAGCUCCCCAGCCUGGCUGCCUCCAGCCAAGAGCAGCCUCGUGUUUACCACUAGUGAGCCAUUUAAAUACUAAAUAAAUAUAAAGCAUUUUUUUCAUUCCUUUUGACUGAAAAAGAAAGCAACCUCUGUAAACUCUCUUAUAAAACCAC
RNAcentral lists this long non-coding RNA (2102 nucleotides) under Homo sapiens (human). RNAcentral describes it as "non-protein coding lnc-CYCS-1:1". Lineage: Eukaryota; Metazoa; Chordata; Mammalia; Primates; Hominidae. The record is from RNAcentral.